AAGAGCCGUAUGCGGGAAAUCCGCCCGUACGGAUCUGUGCGGGGGGUACGGCGUAAGCCGUAUCCCUACCGCGAC
Non-coding RNA from Acidobacterium capsulatum ATCC 51196, 75 nucleotides. Lineage: Bacteria; Pseudomonadati; Acidobacteriota; Terriglobia; Terriglobales; Acidobacteriaceae. The record is from Rfam.